Molecule: transfer RNA, 72 nt
Filed under: Gloeobacter violaceus SpSt-379
Lineage: Bacteria; Bacillati; Cyanobacteriota; Cyanophyceae; Gloeobacterales; Gloeobacteraceae
Description: tRNA-Pro
Rfam family: tRNA
About the family: Transfer RNA (tRNA) molecules are approximately 80 nucleotides in length. Their secondary structure includes four short double-helical elements and three loops (D, anti-codon, and T loops).
Source: RNAcentral
CGGGAUGUAGCGCAGUGGGAGCGCGCCUGGUCGGGGGCCAGGAGGUCGCAGGUUCGAUUCCUGCCAUUCCGA